UACGUAGGGGGCAAGCGUUGUCCGGAAUCGUUGGGCGUAAAGCGCGUGUAGGCGGUCCGGUAAGUCGGUUGUGAAAGUCCAGGGCUCAACCCUGGGAUGCCGACCGAUACUGUCGGACUAGAGUUCGGAAGAGGCGAGUGGAAUUCCCGGUGUAGCGGUGAAAUGCGCAGAUAUCGGGAGGAACACCAAUGGCGAAGGCAGCUCGCUGGGACGUUACUGACGCUGAGACGCGAAAGCGUGGGGAGCAAACAGG
This 253-nucleotide ribosomal RNA is filed under the name uncultured bacterium. Its description in RNAcentral is "partial 16S ribosomal RNA". It matches the Rfam family "Bacterial small subunit ribosomal RNA", at positions 524 to 776 of the family's 1533-position model. The record is from RNAcentral.